CUUUGACACAUAGCCCUCCUUUCCCCGGACCAUGCCCAUGAUGAUGCCCUUUGAAGAGAGGUUUCCCCCAAGAAAGAGCAGCUGAGUCCUUGCAUCUUGUGGCAGCUGGUGUGCCCAGCACUGAGUCUGUAGGAGCUGAAGCCAGCCCGGACCCUUCUCAUGGGCAGUGCCCACCUGUGCUGAAGUCCUGCAGCGGUGGCGGUGUGAGGUGAGUAAUGGAGUCCAGGGCAGGGAGUUAGGGAUCUCCAAAUCCAGGCAAAUGCUGCUUUU
RNAcentral lists this long non-coding RNA (270 nucleotides) under Rhinopithecus bieti (black snub-nosed monkey). RNAcentral describes it as "lncRNA (ENSRBIG00000046626.1)". Lineage: Eukaryota; Metazoa; Chordata; Mammalia; Primates; Cercopithecidae. The record is from RNAcentral.